Molecule: ribosomal RNA, 158 nt
Filed under: uncultured bacterium
Lineage: Bacteria
Description: partial 16S ribosomal RNA
Rfam family: Bacterial small subunit ribosomal RNA
Source: RNAcentral
GCUGUAAUCGCGCAUCAGCCACGGCGCGGUGAAUACGUUCCCGGGCCUUGUACACACCGCCCGUCAAGCCAUGGAAGCCGGGGGUGCCUGAAGUGCGCUGCCGCAAGGAGCGCCCUAGGGUAAAACCGGUGACUGGGGCUAAGUCGUAACAAGGUAAC